Molecule: long non-coding RNA, 444 nt
Filed under: Homo sapiens (human)
Lineage: Eukaryota; Metazoa; Chordata; Mammalia; Primates; Hominidae
Description: HSALNT0005557
Source: RNAcentral
GUAUGCUGAGACCUUUCUUCCUGGGACCGCCUUGCACCCUCCAGGGUCCCCUAUUGGCAGAGCCUAUCCUGGAAACAGCUGACGGAACAGAAAUAGGGUGGGCCCCAAUGCCAGCCCCAGCGUCACCAGACGGCACAUACAGGGAUAGGUUUGGGGACAAGGGCUGAUAGCUUCAGAACUGGCUAUACUCCAGUGCCCCUUCAGACAAUUGGUGAAGGGCCAUUAAACAGAAAAAAAAAAAAGUUGGUGAGGAAGAAAAAGGCUCAAUUAAAAAGCUCCAAAUAUGACCCUGCUCUACUACUGUGAACUGAGUACUAUGUGCUUGGAUGUGUUAAGGACGGAGGCCAUUGCCAUGUGAAGAAGAUCACAGUUCUGAGUGUGAAUACUGCCAGCCCAGAAGAGAACAUUCAUGCUGGAUGCAGUGGCUCACACCUGUAAUCCCAG